RNAcentral lists this transfer RNA (93 nucleotides) under Acetobacter sp. RNAcentral's name for it is "tRNA-Ser". It matches the Rfam family "tRNA". Rfam says of the family: Transfer RNA (tRNA) molecules are approximately 80 nucleotides in length. Their secondary structure includes four short double-helical elements and three loops (D, anti-codon, and T loops). Lineage: Bacteria; Pseudomonadati; Pseudomonadota; Alphaproteobacteria; Acetobacterales; Acetobacteraceae. The record is from RNAcentral.
GGAGGGGUGGCCGAGUGGCUGAAGGCGGCGGUUUGCUAAACCGUUGUACGGUUUUGAGCCGUACCGUGGGUUCGAAUCCCAUCCCCUCCGCCA